CCUACGGGAGGCAGCAGUGAGGAAUAUUGGUCAAUGGGCGCGAGCCUGAACCAGCCAAGUCGCGUGAAGGAUGACGGUCCUAUGGAUUGUAAACUUCUUUUAUCGGGGAGCAAAAGACACCACGCGUGGUGUUCUGAGAGUACCCGAAGAAAAAGCAUCGGCUAACUCCGUGCCAGCAGCCGCGGUAAUACGGAGGAUGCGAGCGUUAUCCGGAUUUAUUGGGUUUAAAGGGUGCGCAGGCGGAAGAUCAAGUCAGCGGUAAAAUUGAGGGGCUAAACCUCAACGUGCAGUUGAAACUGGUUUUCUUGAGUGAGCGAGAAGUAUGCGGAAUUCGUGGUGUAGCGGUGAAAUGCAUAGAUAUCACGAAGAACUCCGGUUGCGAAGGCAACAUACUGG
RNAcentral lists this ribosomal RNA (396 nucleotides) under uncultured bacterium. RNAcentral describes it as "partial 16S ribosomal RNA". It matches the Rfam family "Bacterial small subunit ribosomal RNA", at positions 338 to 732 of the family's 1533-position model. The record is from RNAcentral.